RNAcentral lists this ribosomal RNA (210 nucleotides) under uncultured Glomus. RNAcentral describes it as "partial small subunit ribosomal RNA". It matches the Rfam family "Eukaryotic small subunit ribosomal RNA", at positions 591 to 807 of the family's 1831-position model. Lineage: Eukaryota; Fungi; Glomeromycota; Glomeromycetes; Glomerales; Glomeraceae. The record is from RNAcentral.
CCAAUAGCGUAUAUUAAAGUUGUUGCAGUUAAAAAGCUCGUAGUUGAAUUUCGGGAUCAAUAUGUUGGUCGUGCCUUGGUACGUACUGGCGUCAUUGGUUCCUACCUUCUGAAGAACCUCGAUGUCAUUAAUUUGGUGUCUUGGGGAAUCAGGACUGUUACUUUGAAAAAAUUAGAGUGUUUAAAGCAAGCUCACGCUUGAAUACAUUAG